RNAcentral lists this ribosomal RNA (495 nucleotides) under uncultured bacterium. RNAcentral describes it as "partial 16S ribosomal RNA". It matches the Rfam family "Bacterial small subunit ribosomal RNA", at positions 28 to 507 of the family's 1533-position model. The record is from RNAcentral.
GACGAACGCUGGCGGCGUGCCUAAUACAUGCAAGUAGAACGCUGAAGGAGGAGCUUGCUCUUCUGGAUGAGUUGCGAACGGGUGAGUAACGCGUAGGUAACCUGCCUGGUAGCGGGGGAUAACUAUUGGAAACGAUAGCUAAUACCGCAUAAGAGUAGAUGUUGCAUGACAUUUGCUUAAAAGGUGCAAUUGCAUCACUACCAGAUGGACCUGCGUUGUAUUAGCUAGUUGGUGGGGUAACGGCUCACCAAGGCGACGAUACAUAGCCGACCUGGGAGGGGGAUCGGCCACACUGGGACUGAGACACGGCCCAGACUCCUACGGGAGGCAGCAGUAGGGAAUCUUCGGCAAUGGACGGAAGUCUGACCGAGCAACGCCGCGUGAGUGAAGAAGGUUUUCGGAUCGUAAAGCUCUGUUGUAAGAGAAGAACGAGUGUGAGAGUGGAAAGUUCACACUGUGACGGUAGCUUACCAGAAAGGGACGGCUAACUACGUG